This is a non-coding RNA of Biomphalaria pfeifferi, 372 nucleotides long. The record is from the annotation of a GenBank genome assembly. Lineage: Eukaryota; Metazoa; Mollusca; Gastropoda; Planorbidae.
GUGCAAGGAGGAGGGCACUCGUAUUGGAACACACCUCAGUUUAAAAACUCAUUAUAUUUUUUCUCAGGUAGUCUCCCGUCACAUUUUUCUUUCUACCCAUUACACAAAUUUGAACUUGUGAUGCUCCAAUGUGUAGAGGAAUUGGGUGAGUUCAUGGAACAGAUUGUCACCAGGAAUAUUAAAAUAACAUUCUCUCAUAACUUACUAUUUCAUGACAUUUCGGUGAAAUUUAAAAUGCUAUUAUGUAACAGGUGUGUUAUUGAUCACACAAAACUUUUGUCUAUUGUAUGGUGUGUACCUAUACAAGCAUGUAUAGGACAAGUCUGUUGGCUUACACAGACCUGGUUUUGAAUAAACAGUUUUCAAUCAGAG